Molecule: long non-coding RNA, 491 nt
Filed under: Dasypus novemcinctus (nine-banded armadillo)
Lineage: Eukaryota; Metazoa; Chordata; Mammalia; Cingulata; Dasypodidae
Description: lncRNA (ENSDNOG00000051405.1)
Source: RNAcentral
CGGCGCUGUGGCCCCGCCCCUGGAGCCGCGGCUGGAGAAGAACCAGUCACCCGCGCGCUCGAGUGACGAAGCCCACCCCCGGGGCGGGAGGCGAGGAGGAGAGGUCAGGCAGAGGAUUUCGCCCGGCGGUGCGCGACCCGCGAAGCGCUGGCGGCGCCCUUUCGGAGAAGAGACCGUCAGUUUCGAAUCCAAGGACGGUGAUGGCAAAGCUUACCCGAGUUCUCAGUAAAAUCAAAGCUGUCACACAAUAAAUCCCGCUGCCUGCUGGCGAGGCCCCCGCGCGCUGCAAACUUCAGUGCGCGAACUGGGUAAUCAGUGUUUGGAUAUGCAGAUCCUUGACUCAAAAGGCGGGGUGACCCCCCCAAGAAGCUCUCCCGGGGACCGAAGCCCGCAGGUGCAGUGAGGCGUGUGCGCGCACGGGUGCUGGCGCCCCCGAAGGCGCCUCGCGCCGAGAGAGGGAGACCCGGCGCCCGGCGGGGUCUGGCGGCCAC